This 263-nucleotide ribosomal RNA is filed under the name uncultured archaeon. RNAcentral's name for it is "partial 16S ribosomal RNA". It matches the Rfam family "Archaeal small subunit ribosomal RNA", at positions 719 to 982 of the family's 1478-position model. The record is from RNAcentral.
ACAGUCACACAUUAGAUACCCGUGUAGUCCCAGCCCUAAACGAUGCGCGUUAGGUGUAUCGGUGACCACGAGUCACCGAGGUGCCGAAGGGAACCGUGAAACGUGCCGCCUGGGAAGUACGGUCGCAAGGCUGAAACUUAAAGGAAUUGGCGGGGAGCACCACAACGGGUGGAGCCUGCGGUUUAAUUGGACUCAACGCCGGGAAGCUCACCGGAUAAGACAGCGGAAUGAUUGCCGGGCUGAAGACCCUGCAUGACCAGCUG